AGCGAGGCUAGAGUUACACCUUUACAAACCAUUGUACUGGUGUGCUAGAGUGCUCGCAGAGUGAACAUCUUAGCCUAUUCAUUGGCUGUAGUCUCUGAUGACCCAGCCAACCACCAGCUCAGAAACAUGA
Molecule: small nucleolar RNA, 130 nt
Organism: Esox lucius (northern pike)
Lineage: Eukaryota; Metazoa; Chordata; Actinopteri; Esociformes; Esocidae
Product: small nucleolar RNA SNORA3/SNORA45 family
Source: Ensembl